CCUACGGGCGGCUGCAGUGGGGAAUAUUGCACAAUGGGGGAAACCCUGAUGCAGCGACGCCGCGUGAGUGAAGAAGUAUCUCGGUAUGUAAAGCUCUAUCAGCAGGGAAGAAAAUGACGGUACCUGACUAAGAAGCCCCGGCUAACUACGUGCCAGCAGCCGCGGUAAUACGUAGGGUGCAAGCGUUAUCCGGAUUUACUGGGCGUAAAGGGGGCGUAGACGGGAGCACAAGUCCGGAGUGAAAUCCUGUGGCUUAACCCUAGAACUGCUUUUGAAACUGUGAGGCUGGAGUGUGGGAGAGGUAGGCGGAAUUCCUGGUGUAGCGGUGAAAUGCGUAGAUAUUAAGAGGAACACCGAUGGCGAAGGCGGCUUACUAGACUAUAACUGACGUUGAGGCUCGAAAGCGUGGGGAGCAAACAGGAUUAGAUACCCUUGUAGUC
This 440-nucleotide ribosomal RNA is filed under the name uncultured bacterium. Its description in RNAcentral is "partial 16S ribosomal RNA". It matches the Rfam family "Bacterial small subunit ribosomal RNA", at positions 338 to 795 of the family's 1533-position model. The record is from RNAcentral.